CGCUACUCCCCUUUCUGCCCAACUCUGACCUUGAGGGAGACAAUAAAAGAGGGUCAGAGCGCGCGCCUGGGGCAAGCCGAGCCACCGUGAGCCUUCCACAGGCUGUUCAUGGCUACUUUCCGAAGUGUUAUAUAUGCUCUCUGACCUGGAUGUGUGUCCUGUGAAAUGUGUACAGGUGUGUGAGGACGAGUCUCGCGGCCCGGAAUGUUUAGUGCGUCCGGCUAUAUGGAGCUGAGUGAGUCCGGCGAGGCCGCGCCGCUCCUGCGCACGAGCAGCGUGGAGCUGUGGACACGCAGGGGUCUGGACGGAAAGAUGCAAGUCAGGAUCACUGAACAGUUGGAAGCCUCAAUGUGGAGAAUCAAAACAAAGCAGAUGGUGAGAAGAUGGAAGAACCUCUACCCGGCUGUUGUGUGUGACGGAGAACCCUAACACAUGGAUACCAGUCCACACUGCUGCUGUCACCUCUGAUUAUUAGAGCCAUCUCAGACGCUUGACCUUAUAUCUGCUUCACUGCUGACAAUGCACACCAUGACAUGCUCCAGUUUCCUCUGUGGACCAUCGUGACACAGAUGGAUUCGAGCUGUCUGAGGCA
This is a long non-coding RNA of Hemibagrus wyckioides, 592 nucleotides long. RefSeq lists it as uncharacterized. The record is from RefSeq and is a predicted model, not a curated record. The transcript has 5 exons. NCBI's taxonomy places the organism in Eukaryota, Metazoa, Chordata, Actinopteri, Siluriformes, Bagridae.